RNAcentral lists this non-coding RNA (22 nucleotides) under Arabidopsis thaliana (thale cress). Lineage: Eukaryota; Viridiplantae; Streptophyta; Magnoliopsida; Brassicales; Brassicaceae. The record is from RNAcentral.
ACGACGACCCAUUUGUCUCCGC